UCCGGUUUGUCACCGGCGGUCUCCUUAGAGUGCCCAACUUAAUGCUGGCAACUAAGGACAAGGGUUGCGCUCGUUGCGGGACUUAACCCAACAUCCCACGACACGAGCUGACGACAGCCAUGCAGCACCUGUAUUAAAGUCAGUACCAUCCCGUUAAGGACUGGUUUUGUUGUUCAUAUGUCAAGGGCUGGUAAGGUUUUGCGCGUUGUAUCGAAUUAAACCACAUGCUCCACCGCUUGUGCAGGCCCCCGUCAAUUCCUUUGAGUUUUAGUCUUGCGACCGUACUUCCCAGGCGGGGUACUUAUUGCGUUAGCUCCGGCUCUGCAGGGGUCUAUUCCCACAAAGCCUAGUACCCAUCGUUUACAGCGUGGACUAC
This 376-nucleotide unclassified non-coding RNA is filed under the name uncultured Pseudomonadota bacterium. RNAcentral's name for it is "uncultured proteobacterium contains 16S-23S intergenic spacer region". The record is from RNAcentral. Lineage: Bacteria; Pseudomonadati; Pseudomonadota.